AACGAACGCUGGCGGCGCGCCUAAUACAUGCAAGUCGAGCGAGAAGGUGUAGCAAUACACUUGUAAAGCGGCGAACGGGUGAGGAAUACAUGGGUAAUCUACCAUCGAGUGGGGAAUAACCAACCGAAAGGUUGGCUAAUACCGCGUACGCCUCCGGGUCUUCGGGUUCGGAGGGAAAGCUGCACUGUGAGUGUAGCGCUCUUUGAUGAGCUCAUGUCCUAUCAGCUUGUUGGUAGGGUAACGGCCUACCAAGGCUUUGACGGGUAGCUGGUCUGAGAGGACGAUCAGCCACACUGGCACUGCGACACGGGCCAGACUCCUACGGGAGGCAGCAGUAAGGAAUAUUGCGCAAUGGGCGAAAGCCUGACGCAGCGACGCCGCGUGGGGGAUGAAGGUCUUCGGAUUGUAAACCCCUUUCGGGAGGGAAGAUGGAGCGAGCAAUCGUUCGGACGGUACCUCCAGAAGCAGCCACGGCCAACUUCGUGCCAGCAGC
This 493-nucleotide ribosomal RNA is filed under the name uncultured bacterium. RNAcentral's name for it is "bacterial SSU rRNA". It matches the Rfam family "Bacterial small subunit ribosomal RNA", at positions 29 to 515 of the family's 1533-position model. The record is from RNAcentral.